GAGACCUGGAUGCUGGGCAUCCUCGCUAGAUCCCCUACAAAUUCCCCACAUACGUAGGCCAGGAGCCUCAGCGGUGCCUCUGCAGGCUCAUCUGGCAGGACGGUACCAGCUUGCUCAGAACAGGGGCUGGCUAUUCAUCAUCUCAGAGCAUAGAGACCCUCUCCUUGCCACCCGGCCCUUCCCACCUGGUUGGUGACAAAUCACAAGGUGGUAGAAGUUGCCAGGGACAGAUAACAUGGCAGCCAGCGGGAAGACCAGCAAGUCUGAACCAAACCAUGUUAUCUUCAAGAAGAUCUCCCGGGACAAAUCGGUGACCAUCUACCUGGGGAAGAGAGACUACAUAGACCAUGUCAGCCAAGUCCAGCCUGUGGAUGGUGUCGUGUUGGUUGAUCCUGAUCUUGUGAAGGGAAAGAAAGUUUCCUGACUACUUGCCCUGUUCAGUGAUGUUGCAGCCAGCUCCACAAGAUUCAGGGAAGUCCUGUGGGGUUGACUUUGAGGUCAAAGCAUUCGCCACAGACAGCACCGAUGCCGAAGAGGACAAAAUCCCCAAGAAGUAAGAGUAUGGUUGCGGAAUAGGUGAGGGGUCUGCGGUGGGGGUGGAGAGAAGAGACGACCUCCACCUUGUCUCUGUGGGACAGACCUCUUCCCAUAGGGCUGGCACGGCUGGGGUACCAUCUGCAUGUGGGAUGGAGGUCAAAGGUUGAUCAUUUUGGGGGAAAAAAAAGAAAACAAGAAAAUGACAGGGAAGUUAGCAAUCUCCAGGGCUCACGUAAGCCCCGAAAAGCUCCCGGGUUUCCCCUUUGUUUAAGUUUUGUUGUUGUUGUUUGUUUGUUUGUUUGUUUUUUGUGGUAAAAUGUACACAACAUGAAGUUUGCCAUUUUAACCACUUUUUUUUUCUUUUUUUCUUUUAUUUUUUGAAAUGGAGCCUCGCUCUGUCCCCCAGGCUGGAGUGCAAUGUGACCUCGGCUCACUGCAACCUCCACCUCCCAGGUUCAAGCGAUUCUCCUGCCUCAGCCUCCCGAGUAGCUGGGAUUACAGGCGUGUGCCACCACGCCUGGCUACUUUUUUUUUUUGUAUUUUUAGUAGAGAUGGGUUUCACCAUGUUGGCCAGGCUGGUCUUGAACUCCUGACCUCAAGUGAUCCGCCUGCCUUGGCCUCCCAAAGUGCUGGGAUUACAGGCGUGAGCCACUGUGCCCAGCCCAUUUUAACCACUUUUAAAUGUACCAUUCAGUGGCUUAAGUACAUUCCGAAUGUUGUGUAGCCUUCACCGCUGUCUAUACCCAAAACUUUCCCAUUGCCUGAGCAGGAACUCUACAACCAUUAAGCCUACCGCUCCAUCCUUCCCAUUCUCCCACCCCCUGUGCUGUUUUUUUUUUACCUAAACAAGAUUUCCGCCUGGCCCUUCGCACUGUCUCCUCAUGCCCCAUGUACACAUCUCUGGAGGCGCAGGAUAGUGAGCUGCAGUAAUGGAGCUCGCAUGUAUAUGGCAGCUAUUCCAUGAGGCCCUUGACGCCCUCACACCUUAGCCUCGCUGACAGGAGGCAGAGCCAGGAAUCCACGGAGCCUAAGGGGCUAAGCUUGGCCCUCGGGAUGUUGCCUGGCCCCACAGCUUCCCCCACAGGGAAGGGACCAGGACCCAGACCCCCAGGCUCUUCCACCGUCAGGGCUGCCUCAGGCUCUGACCAGUGUCCUUGCCCUCUUCCUGUCCACCCUGUCUCCAUGGGGAGCAUUCCUGGAGAAUCUCCAUGUGACAGUGGGGAGAGAACAGAAGCCUCCCUGAAGCAGCCUGGGUGCCAAUCCCUGGCUUGUCUGUGGCUGUUUCCCACAGGAGCUCCGUGCGAUUACUGAUCCGCAAAGUACAGCAUGGCCCACUUGAGAUGGGUCCCCAGCCCCGAGCUGAGGCGGCCUGGCAGUUCUUCAUGUCUGACAAGCCCCUGCACCUUGCGGUCUCUCUCAACAAAGAGGUAACCACCUACCAUCGCUACUACCCACAGGGCAGCAGGCCUAGGGGCAGGCCCCACACCCCUCUCUUCACCAGCCCCAGCCCUUAACUACAUGGGUGCCUUGCAAGGAAGCUUGUUUCUGGGAUAAAGCACCAACAUGUGUAAGUGACUGGCCUGUUUUCACAGCCUGGAGCUGGUCAGCAUGGUCCUUAGGGGAGGACGGAACUGGCUUGCGUUCCACCCACUGGCUGUCCCGAGGGACUGGGGAAGGAAGGGGCGCUGCUUUUCACAUACCUGCCCCCCAGCUGUCCUUGUCCUGUCCACCUCCAUGGGCCUUGUUCACCCACGGAGCAUCAAUAGCUGUGGUAUCCCAAAUUCUUCACUUCCUGGGAAAUUUAAGUUUUGCAGAAACCAUGUGGGAUGGCAGUGUCACCUGUGAUGUCAUCUCUUAGGGGUGUCAUGGUGGGAAAAGGUGAGAGCUGCUGGCCAAGGCUGGCUCUGGUUCCUCUGGUCAGCAGUCAGCCGUGUGUGCACUGUGUGUGUACACGUGUGUGGGUGUGCCCAGGGGCUGUGUUACACGGGCUCUGCUGGGUGGGAUGCCAGCACUUGGCUUUCCCAGUGGUUUCCUUUCACUUCACUCAUCCUGCCCCCAUAACCUCCUGACCCCUGGCCUCCUCCGAUGUGAUGAUCGGAACUCUAUUCCCCUCCCCAGCUCCCCACAGAUGGGUGGAAUGUGUUUCAGGCCCUUCCUUAGAAGAAAUGUAUUGCUAUCACUUCAUCUUCCUUAAAUUCUGCCGCUUUUACUCCAGUGAAAGGGAUUGAGAUGAAUCUAGAAAGCAGUAAGAUUAAAGACACCGCCACAUCUGUUCUCUUCUUCUGACCUAUCUGCUGACUUUUCUAGAUCUAUUUCCAUGGGGAGCCCAUCCCUGUGACCGUGACUGUCACCAAUAACACAGAGAAGACCGUGAAGAAGAUUAAAGCAUUCGUGGAACAGGUGGCCAAUGUGGUUCUCUACUCGAGUGAUUAUUACGUCAAGCCCGUGGCUAUGGAGGAAGCGCAGUGAGUAGCUGUUGGGGUUUCCGUUUCCUGGGCGUCUCAGCCUUCUGUGUCAAGUUUCUCGCCGUUUAUUGCUGAAGAAGUAACUAGAAUGUUCAGCUAGCUCGCCAGCCUUCCACUUCCUUCCUCUUUCUCCCUUCGAGGGCUGCACAGAAAGUUAGCAUCUUAGCUCUGCAUCUACCACACCCCUCUGUGCCCAUCUUACAGGAGUUCUGAGGAUUAAUGCAAGCCAAAGAAUGACGCAGAGGAGAGAAAUAAAGACAGAAAUAUCACCAUGGGAUCAGCUGGCUUUUUCUAUUUAUCCCUGGAAUGAAUUGUUAGGAAUUUGAUACUAUUUCCACCUCCCAGAAGAUGGUCAAAUGAACUGUCAGCCCAGGCUAGGAUUCCCUAUCUUUUGAUCUCAAAUUGAAAUCUUAUACCAGUGACAACUGGAUUAGAAUAUAUCCGUUCUUAGCCUGUUGUUGUGAAUGACUUUUCCCCUUUGUUAGAAUCAAAAACAAAUGAGAAUCCUGCCAUGGUUCCUUUAUGCUGGCCUGAGAGACCUGCCCAGCUUUGCUGUGUGCCACAAAGUCAAAUAGAUUCAUUUAAUACAUGGCUUGGGGUGGGGGGCGAUGAUCUCCCACCUCCAGCCCCCCGAGAGGAUAGCUCGACCAGGUCUUAACUCUUUGCCUUGCUGGCAUGUUCUAAGCACCGUUGUAUGUAAAAAAUAUUAUCAGGUUUAGAGGAAGGUUAGGGUAGGGGAGUGAUGAAAGACAACUGAUUCCUUAAGAUAAUAUAAGGUAAUAGAUAGAUUUUUUUGAGAUGGAGUCUCACUCUGUUGCCCAGGCUGGAGUGCAGUGGUGAGAUCUCAGCUCACUGCAACCUCCACCACCCAGGUUCGAGCCAUUCUCCUGACUCAGUCUCCCAAGUAGCUGGAAUUACAGGAGCCCGCCACCACGCCCAGCUAAUUUUGUAUUUUUUUUUUUUUUGAGACGGAGUUUUGCUCUUGUUGCCCAAGCAGGAGUGCAAUGGCGCGAUCUUGACUCACUGCAACCUUUGCCUCCUGGGUUCAAGUGAUUCUCCUGCCUCAGCCUCCUGAGUAGCUGGGAUUACAGGCACACGCCACCACCCCUGGCUAAUUUUUUGUAUUUUUAUUAGAAACGGGGUUUCACCAUGUUAGCCAGGCUGGUCUCGAACUCCUGACCUCAGGUGAUCUGCCCACCUCGGCCUCCCAAAGUGCUGGGAUUACAGGCGUGAGCCACCGUGACUGGCUGAUUUUGUAUUUUUAGUAGAGACAGGGUUUCACCUGUUGGCCAGGCUGGUCUCAAACUCCUGACCUCAGGUGAUCUGCUCGCCUCAGCCUCCCAAAGUGCUGAAAUUACAGGCGUGAGCCACCGCACCUGGCCUAUAUGGGAAUAUUUAAAAGGCAACUUUAGGAGAAACUAUUACUGUUAUUCAAAACAGAUUCAAACUGUAGGUCUACAAGGGAGGGAGACAGGAAAGAACCACCACUCACUGCCUCCUUUCUGCCAAGAUUGGGCUCUGUUCUGCCUUUAGGGGAUCCUCGCACAUCCCUGUGCCCUGGAGGGGUCUUGGCCCUGGUUCACCUUUCCUCAUGUGCUCAGCAACAUGGGAGCAAAGGAUCCUGGCUGAGUUUUCCCCUAAUAUGUAUUCCAUCACCUGGUCCUCUUUCAAAGUGUUGGGUGCAUUUUGGGUCAAAGAUUCCCAGGAAACUGGAAAGCAUUCCAAAGUCCCCCAAAGGCUGGAGGAGCCUGGGAGCUGGACUGGACCAUGCUGACAAGUCUGAAGCUAGAGGCCACUCAGAAAGCUGCAGAGCAGGAGCCAUCGUCCCAGAGCCCUGUGGCUUCUGGGGCUUUAGUGGGCAGGCUUCCACGGAACCAGGACAGACCUGACUCCCAAGCUGCUCCCCACCAUCCAAACCCACAUCCUGAAGCUCUGGGGAGUGGCCCCAGGGCCUUGGCAUAGUCCUUUGGCAAGCUCUGCACAAACACAAGAAGUCCAUCCUCUGAGCCCAACCCCAAGGGCCCUCUUCCUAUUCCAGCCAUCUUUACAAUGCUGUUUCUGCUUUUUUCAAUGCUCAAAUUACGCUCAUUAAGAGAGGUUCCACCAGGACCCAGAUGGUAGGAUGUGGGCCACCUUGGGCUCUGGCAGAUUUCUGUAAAGAGCUUCCUGUAGACACUGGAGGCAGGAUAGGGGACAGCUGCUUUUACCUAUCCAGGGAAACUUGAUUAGGGAAAGGAAGUCCUUUCCCAGAGAGGCAGUUCAGACUUCCAGCUGUCUCAGGACAGCCUUAGAAUGGUCCUGAUGCUGGCCACACCCCACCUUGUUCUGGCUAGGCACAGGAUGGAGGGUGUGCUUCCGGCACGAAUGGGCUCUGCUGUCAGAGAGUGUGCAGCCACGUGACUGUGGGCACACUUCCCGUCUGGAAAAUGGGGAUCUUGGAGCACCUGCUUGGUAUGGGGUUGAUGAGGGUAAGGUGAGAGUUUUGAGGACAGGCCUUAGCACUCGGCCUGGCACACAGCAUGCACGUGAGUGGAGGAGCCAACUCUCCAGCCUCAGAGGCUGCUUCAUGAUCCUGGCCAUGCUGCCGUGUGUCUGCCUGGAGAAACACACAUUGCUGUGUCCCCAGCUGGAUCCCAGACCCGCCCGUUGGCACAGGGUCUCCGCCAUCUGUCAGAUGUUGAGAAAUCUAUACCCCGACUGAUGAUGAAGAUCCAGUAGAGAAAGAGCAUGUGCUGCUUUGGACCCAAGCUAUUCGGUCUGUGUGAUCCACAAAUUGUGGGUCCCUGUGUUGCCCCUCUAGACAACUUACCACACAGUCACACUGUGACCCCCUUAUAGUGACAGUUUUUGGUGACAAGAGGCUUUCUGGCCUGGACUCGUUGCUGACACCAACCAGAAGGUUCUGCAGGCCACCGUGUGGUUCACAAAGUCUCAGGAGGAGGCUGUGGUCUCUGACUCUCGAGCCAGUUUGUCUCAUUAACUCCAUAGAACAUUCUAGAAAUUCAGCAAUUCAGAAUAGGCUGAGUUGCUUGAAGAAAUAUCCUCCUGUUGCUGCCAGCCCACCCUGAGAUUUCACAAGCACUGUUCUGCUUCUCAGAAAAAGUGCCGCCAAACAGCACUUUGACCAAGACGCUGACGCUGCUGCCCUUGCUGGCUAACAAUCAAGAAAGGAGAGGCAUUGCCCUGGAUGGGAAAAUCAAGCACGAGGACACAAACCUUGCCUCCAGCACCAUCAUUAAGGAGGGCAUAGACCGGACCGUCCUGGGGAUCCUGGUGUCUUACCAGAUCAAGGUGAAGCUCACAGUGUCAGGCUUUCUGGGAGAGCUCACCUCCAGUGAAGUCGCCACUGAGGUCCCAUUCCGCCUCAUGCACCCUCAGCCUGAGGACCCAGCUAAGGAAAGUUAUCAGGAUGCAAAUUUAGUUUUUGAGGAGUUUGCUCGCCAUAAUCUGAAAGAUGCAGGAGAAGCUGAGGAGGGGAAGAGAGACAAGAAUGACAUUGAUGAGUGAAGAUGUCGGCUCAGGAUGCCGGAAAAUGACCUGUAGUUACCAGUGCAACAAGCAAAGCCCCACAGUUUAGUCCUUUGGAGUUAUGCUGCGUAUGAAAGGAUGAGUCUUCUUCCGAGAAAUAAAGCUUGUUUGUUCUCCCCUG
This 6651-nucleotide small RNA is filed under the name Pan troglodytes (chimpanzee). RNAcentral's name for it is "retained intron". Lineage: Eukaryota; Metazoa; Chordata; Mammalia; Primates; Hominidae. The record is from RNAcentral.